RNAcentral lists this ribosomal RNA (1369 nucleotides) under uncultured bacterium. Its description in RNAcentral is "bacterial SSU rRNA". It matches the Rfam family "Bacterial small subunit ribosomal RNA". The record is from RNAcentral.
AGAGUUUGAUCCUGGCUCAGAACGAACGCUGGCGGCGUGGAUAAGACAUGCAAGUCGAACGAGAGAAUUGCUAGCUUGCUAAUAAUUCUCUAGUGGCGCACGGGUGAGUAACACGUGAGUAACCUGCCCCCGAGAGCGGGAUAGCCCUGGGAAACUGGGAUUAAUACUGCAUAGUAUCGAAAGAUUAAAGCAGCAAUGCGCUUGGGGAUGGGCUCGCGGCCUAUUAGUUAGUUGGUGAGGUAACGGCUCACCAAGGCGAUGACGGGUAGCCGGUCUGAGAGGAUGUCCGGCCACACUGGAACUGAGACACGGUCCAGACACCUACGGGUGGCAGCAGUCGAGAAUCAUUCACAAUGGGGGAAACCCUGAUGGUGUGACGCCGCGUGGGGGAAUGAAGGUCUUCGGAUUGUAAACCCCUGUCAUGUGGGAGCAAAUUAAAAAGAUAGUACCACAAGAGGAAGAGACGGCUAACUCUGUGCCAGCAGCCGCGGUAAUACAGAGGUCUCAAGCGUUGUUCGGAAUCACUGGGCGUAAAGCGUGCGUAGGCUGUUUCGUAAGUCGUGUGUGAAAGGCGCGGGCUCAACCCGCGGACGGCACAUGAUACUGCGAGACUAGAGUAAUGGAGGGGGAACCGGAAUUCUCGGUGUAGCAGUGAAAUGCGUAGAUAUCGAGAGGAACACUCGUGGCGAAGGCGGGUUCCUGGACAUUAACUGACGCUGAGGCACGAAGGCCAGGGGAGCGAAAGGGAUUAGAUACCCCUGUAGUCCUGGCAGUAAACGGUGCACGCUUGGUGUGCGGGGAAUCGACCCCCUGCGUGCCGGAGCUAACGCGUUAAGCGUGCCGCCUGGGGAGUACGGUCGCAAGAUUAAAACUCAAAGAAAUUGACGGGGACCCGCACAAGCGGUGGAGUAUGUGGCUUAAUUCGAUGCAACGCGAAGAACCUUACCUGGGCUUGACAUGUAAUGAACAACAUGUGAAAGCAUGCGACUCUUCGGAGGCGUUACACAGGUGCUGCAUGGCCGUCGUCAGCUCGUGUCGUGAGAUGUUUGGUUAAGUCCAGCAACGAGCGCAACCCCUGUUGCCAGUUACCAGCACGUGAAGGUGGGGACUCUGGCGAGACUGCCCAGAUCAACUGGGAGGAAGGUGGGGACGACGUCAGGUCAGUAUGGCCCUUAUGCCCAGGGCUGCACACGUACUACAAUGCCCAGUACAGAGGGGGCCGAAGCCGCGAGGCGGAGGAAAUCCUGAAAACUGGGCCCAGUUCGGACUGUAGGCUGCAACCCGCCUACACGAAGCCGGAAUCGCUAGUAAUGGCGGAUCAGAAUGCCGCGGUGAAUACGUUCCCGGGUCUUGUACACACCGCCCGUCA